AGUUUACUAAUACUGGUAGUAGAUCAUAUCAAAACUAUUAAAGCUUGGCAGUUAAAGUUAUGCAGAGAAACUUGUUUUAUAAUCGUAAAUACUCGAUGAAUUUAACUUUUUAGUUAAAGCUUAUAUACCGCCGUUACACGAAAUUAAACACACCAAAUUUCUAAAAAAAAAACAUUCAAAAAUCAGGUCAAGGUAUAGCCUAUCUUUAAGUAAAAAUUAGUUACAAAUAAAAAAGAUUUAAGAAACCAAUAACACAAGUUUUUAAGAAAAAGAAUCUACAAACAAUUUAUAAUUAAAAAUAAUAAAUGAAAUUAAAAACAUUAAUGK
This 327-nucleotide ribosomal RNA is filed under the name Mesabolivar sp. Br16-32. RNAcentral's name for it is "partial 12S ribosomal RNA". Lineage: Eukaryota; Metazoa; Arthropoda; Arachnida; Araneae; Pholcidae. The record is from RNAcentral.